GUUACUCGAAACUUUGUACACCUCUACGCAAUGAGCGGCAGGCAACGGUCUUAAGACUGGCUGAGAUGGGAAG
RNAcentral lists this ribozyme (73 nucleotides) under unclassified sequences. RNAcentral describes it as "HDV ribozyme from F. prausnitzii". It matches the Rfam family "HDV ribozyme from F. prausnitzii". The record is from RNAcentral.